GAUGAACGCUGGCGGCGUGCUUAACACAUGCAAGUCGAACGAAGCGCUUUGGAUGGAUCCUUCGGGUGACGGAAGAAGUGACUUAGUGGCGGACGGGUGAGUAACGCGUGGGUAACCUGCCUCACACAGGGGGAUAACAGUUAGAAAUGACUGCUAAUACCGCAUAUGCACACAGUACCGCAUGGUACAGGGUGGAAAGAUUUAUCGGUGUGGGAUGGACCCGCGUUGGAUUAGCUAGUUGGCAGGGUAACGGCCUACCAAGGCGACGAUCCAUAGCCGGCCUGAGAGGGUGGACGGCCACAUUGGGACUGAGACACGGCCCAA
Molecule: ribosomal RNA, 324 nt
Filed under: uncultured bacterium
Lineage: Bacteria
Description: bacterial SSU rRNA
Rfam family: Bacterial small subunit ribosomal RNA
Source: RNAcentral